GGGAAUGAACAAACCGGCCGAUAUACUGGUUUGGGACCAGAGGGUCGGGAGUUCGAAUCUCUCCACUCCGACCA
This 74-nucleotide transfer RNA is filed under the name Mesorhizobium mediterraneum. Its description in RNAcentral is "tRNA-Ser". Lineage: Bacteria; Pseudomonadati; Pseudomonadota; Alphaproteobacteria; Hyphomicrobiales; Phyllobacteriaceae. The record is from RNAcentral. RNAcentral also lists the same sequence under 1 other name.